UACGCAGGUGGCGAGCGUUGUCCGGAUUUACUGGGCGUAAAGGGAGCGUAGGCGGACCUUUAAGUGAGAUGUGAAAUACCCGAGCUCAACUUGGGUGCUGCAUUUCAAACUGGAGGUCUAGAGUGUCGGAGAGGUAAGUGGAAUUCCUAGUGUAGCGGUGAAAUGCGUAGAGAUUAGGAAGAACCCCGGUGGCGAAGGCGACUUACUGGACGAUAACUGACGCUGAGGCUCGAAAGCGUGGGGAGCAAACAGGAUUAGAUACCCUGGUAGUCCCU
RNAcentral lists this ribosomal RNA (275 nucleotides) under uncultured prokaryote. RNAcentral's name for it is "partial 16S ribosomal RNA". It matches the Rfam family "Bacterial small subunit ribosomal RNA", at positions 524 to 798 of the family's 1533-position model. The record is from RNAcentral.